AAACACUACUUCGUGAAGUAGCUUGACGGUAUCGUAAGAAUAAGGAUCGGCUAACUCCGUGCCAGCAGCCGCGGUAAUACGGAGGAUCCAAGCGUUAUCCGGAAUCAUUGGGUUUAAAGGGUCCGUAGGCGGUUUAAUAAGUCAGUGGUGAAAGCCCAUCGCUCAACGGUGGAACGGCCAUUGAUACUGUUAGACUUGAAUUAUUAGGAAGUAACUAGAAUAUGUAGUGUAGCGGUGAAAUGCUUAGAGAUUACA
This 255-nucleotide ribosomal RNA is filed under the name Flavobacterium frigidimaris. Its description in RNAcentral is "partial 16S ribosomal RNA". It matches the Rfam family "Bacterial small subunit ribosomal RNA", at positions 448 to 701 of the family's 1533-position model. Lineage: Bacteria; Pseudomonadati; Bacteroidota; Flavobacteriia; Flavobacteriales; Flavobacteriaceae. The record is from RNAcentral.